ACAACGCCGUAGCAGCAGGCAACAGAAUUACAAAACUGAACAAAUAAAAAUGCCGAACUAAUGAACGUCGAAACUCGAAGCUGGAUAAGGCAAACACAGUUUACAAUGCCGAAGGAAUCGUUUAGAGUUUUCAUUGGGAAUCUUCCUUCAGAUUGCAGAAUCGGAGAUUUGGAGGAUUUUUUCAGG
Eurytemora carolleeae is the source of this 186-nucleotide long non-coding RNA. RefSeq lists it as uncharacterized. NCBI's taxonomy places the organism in Eukaryota, Metazoa, Arthropoda, Copepoda, Calanoida, Temoridae. The record is from RefSeq and is a predicted model, not a curated record. The transcript is spliced from 2 exons.